GGACUUGUGGCCUAGUGGUUAUGGCGUCCGCCUUACAUAAGCAGCGCUCACUCCGUCGUGCUUUGCAUAAUGUCCUCGCGGAAGGUCGCCGGUUCAAUCCCGGCCGGGUUCA
Non-coding RNA from Mycena polygramma, 112 nucleotides. Lineage: Eukaryota; Fungi; Basidiomycota; Agaricomycetes; Agaricales; Mycenaceae. The record is from the annotation of a GenBank genome assembly.